CAUAUCAAUAAGCGGAGGAAAAGAAACUAACAAGGAUUCCCCUAGUAACUGCGAGUGAAGCGGGAAAAGCUCAAAUUUAAAAUCUGGCAGUCUUUGGCUGUCCGAGUUGUAAUCUAGAGAAGUGUUAUCCGCGCUGGACCGUGUACAAGUCUCCUGGAAUGGAGCGUCAUAGAGGGUGAGAAUCCCGUCUUUGACACGGAUUACCAGGGCUUUGUGAUACGCUCUCAAAGAGUCGAGUUGUUUGGGAAUGCAGCUCAAAAUGGGUGGUAAAUUCCAUCUAAAGCUAAAUAUUGGCGAGAGACCGAUAGCGAACAAGUACCGUGAGGGAAAGAUGAAAAGAACUUUGGAAAGAGAGUUAAACAGUACGUGAAAUUGCUGAAAGGGAAACGCUUGAAGUCAGUCGCGUUGUUUGGGAAUCAACCUUGCUUUUGUUGGGUGUACUUUCCAGAUAACGGGCCAGCAUCAAUUUUGACCGUUGGAUAAAGAUUAGAGAAAUGUGGCAUUUUCGGAUGUGUUAUAGUCUCUAGUUGCAUACAACGAUUGGGAUUGAGGAACUCAGCACGCCGCAAGGCCGG
RNAcentral lists this ribosomal RNA (575 nucleotides) under Agaricales sp. Its description in RNAcentral is "eukaryotic LSU rRNA". It matches the Rfam family "Eukaryotic large subunit ribosomal RNA", at positions 39 to 614 of the family's 3401-position model. Lineage: Eukaryota; Fungi; Basidiomycota; Agaricomycetes; Agaricales. The record is from RNAcentral.